RNAcentral lists this ribosomal RNA (253 nucleotides) under uncultured bacterium. Its description in RNAcentral is "partial 16S ribosomal RNA". It matches the Rfam family "Bacterial small subunit ribosomal RNA", at positions 524 to 776 of the family's 1533-position model. The record is from RNAcentral.
UACGGGGGGGGCAAGCGUUGUUCGGAAUUACUGGGCGUAAAGGGCUCGUAGGCGGCCAACUAAGUCAGACGUGAAAUCCCUCGGCUUAACCGGGGAACUGCGUCUGAUACUGGAUGGCUUGAGGUUGGGAGAGGGAUGCGGAAUUCCAGGUGUAGCGGUGAAAUGCGCAGAUAUCUGGAGGAACACCGGUGGCGAAGGCGGCAUCCUGGACCAAUUCUGACGCUGAGGAGCGAAAGCCAGGGGAGCAAACGGG